RNAcentral lists this ribosomal RNA (428 nucleotides) under uncultured bacterium. Its description in RNAcentral is "partial 16S ribosomal RNA". It matches the Rfam family "Bacterial small subunit ribosomal RNA", at positions 354 to 796 of the family's 1533-position model. The record is from RNAcentral.
GUGAGGAAUAUUGGGCAAUGGGCGAAAGCCUGACCCAGCCACGCCGCGUGAGUGAUGAAGGCCUUCGGGUCGUAAAGCUCUGUUGCAGGGGAAGAACACAAUGACGGUACCCUGCUAGAAAGGAUCGGCUAACUUCGUGCCAGCAGCCGCGGUAAGACGAGGGAUCCUAGCGUUGUUCGGAAUUAUUGGGCGUAAAGCGGGUGCAGGUGGCUUGGUAAGUCAGAUGUGAAAGCCUGGGGCUUAACCCCAGAAGUGCAUUUGAUACUGCUGAGCUUGAGUGCUGGAGAGGCUAUUAGAAUUCCUGGUGUAGUGGUGAAAUACGUAGAUAUCAGGAGGAAUACCGGAGGCGAAGGCGGAUAGCUGGCCAGACACUGACACUCAGACCCGAAAGCGUGGGGAUCAAACAGGAUUAGAAACCCCUGUAGUCC